Molecule: ribosomal RNA, 2905 nt
Filed under: Enterobacter cancerogenus
Lineage: Bacteria; Pseudomonadati; Pseudomonadota; Gammaproteobacteria; Enterobacterales; Enterobacteriaceae
Description: 23S ribosomal RNA
Rfam family: Bacterial large subunit ribosomal RNA
Source: RNAcentral
GGUUAAGCGACUAAGCGUACACGGUGGAUGCCCUGGCAGUCAGAGGCGAUGAAGGACGUGCUAAUCUGCGAAAAGCGACGGCGAGGUGAUAUGAACCCUUGACCCGUCGAUGUCCGAAUGGGGAAACCCAGUGCAAUCCGUUGCACUAUCGUUAACUGAAUACAUAGGUUAACGAGGCGAACCGGGGGAACUGAAACAUCUAAGUACCCCGAGGAAAAGAAAUCAACCGAGAUUCCCCCAGUAGCGGCGAGCGAACGGGGAGCAGCCCGGAGUCUGAAUCAGCUUGUGUGUUAGUGGAACGGUCUGGAAAGUCCGACGGUACAGGGUGAUAGUCCCGUACACGAAAGCACACUUGCUGUGAACUCGAAGAGUAGGGCGGGACACGUGGUAUCCUGUCUGAAUAUGGGGGGACCAUCCUCCAAGGCUAAAUACUCCUGACUGACCGAUAGUGAACCAGUACCGUGAGGGAAAGGCGAAAAGAACCCCGGCGAGGGGAGUGAAAAAGAACCUGAAACCGUGUACGUACAAGCAGUGGGAGCCUCUUUUAUGGGGUGACUGCGUACCUUUUGUAUAAUGGGUCAGCGACUUAUAUUCUGUAGCAAGGUUAACCGUAUAGGGGAGCCGAAGGGAAACCGAGUCUUAACUGGGCGUUAAGUUGCAGGGUAUAGACCCGAAACCCGGUGAUCUAGCCAUGGGCAGGUUGAAGGUUGGGUAACACUAACUGGAGGACCGAACCGACUAAUGUUGAAAAAUUAGCGGAUGACCUGUGGCUGGGGGUGAAAGGCCAAUCAAACCGGGAGAUAGCUGGUUCUCCCCGAAAGCUAUUUAGGUAGCGCCUCGUGAACUCAUCUUCGGGGGUAGAGCACUGUUUCGGCUAGGGGGCCAUCCCGGCUUACCAACCCGAUGCAAACUACGAAUACCGAAGAAUGUUAUCACGGGAGACACACGGCGGGUGCUAACGUCCGUCGUGAAGAGGGAAACAACCCAGACCGCCAGCUAAGGUCCCAAAGUCAUGGUUAAGUGGGAAACGAUGUGGGAAGGCACAGACAGCCAGGAUGUUGGCUUAGAAGCAGCCAUCAUUUAAAGAAAGCGUAAUAGCUCACUGGUCGAGUCGGCCUGCGCGGAAGAUGUAACGGGGCUAAACCAUGCACCGAAGCUGCGGCAGCGACACUAUGUGUUGUUGGGUAGGGGAGCGUUCUGUAAGCCGUUGAAGGUGUGCUGUGAGGCAUGCUGGAGGUAUCAGAAGUGCGAAUGCUGACAUAAGUAACGAUAAAGCGGGUGAAAAGCCCGCUCGCCGGAAGACCAAGGGUUCCUGUCCAACGUUAAUCGGGGCAGGGUGAGUCGACCCCUAAGGCGAGGCCGAAAGGCGUAGUCGAUGGGAAACAGGUUAAUAUUCCUGUACUUGGUGUUACUGCGAAGGGGGGACGGAGAAGGCUAUGUUAGCCGGGCGACGGUUGUCCCGGUUUAAGCAUGUAGGCGGAGGUUCCAGGUAAAUCCGGUACCUUUUAACGCUGAGGUGUGAUGACGAGGCACUACGGUGCUGAAGUAACAAAUGCCCUGCUUCCAGGAAAAGCCUCUAAGCAUCAGGUAACACGAAAUCGUACCCCAAACCGACACAGGUGGUCAGGUAGAGAAUACCAAGGCGCUUGAGAGAACUCGGGUGAAGGAACUAGGCAAAAUGGUGCCGUAACUUCGGGAGAAGGCACGCUGAUAUGUAGGUGAAGCCCCUGCGGGUGGAGCUGAAAUCAGUCGAAGAUACCAGCUGGCUGCAACUGUUUAUUAAAAACACAGCACUGUGCAAACACGAAAGUGGACGUAUACGGUGUGACGCCUGCCCGGUGCCGGAAGGUUAAUUGAUGGGGUUAGCGGCAACGCGAAGCUCUUGAUCGAAGCCCCGGUAAACGGCGGCCGUAACUAUAACGGUCCUAAGGUAGCGAAAUUCCUUGUCGGGUAAGUUCCGACCUGCACGAAUGGCGUAAUGAUGGCCAGGCUGUCUCCACCCGAGACUCAGUGAAAUUGAACUCGCUGUGAAGAUGCAGUGUACCCGCGGCAAGACGGAAAGACCCCGUGAACCUUUACUAUAGCUUGACACUGAACACUGGUCCUUGAUGUGUAGGAUAGGUGGGAGGCUUUGAAGCGUGGACGCCAGUCUGCGUGGAGCCGUCCUUGAAAUACCACCCUUUAAUGGCUGGUGUUCUAACGUUGACCCGUAAUCCGGGUUGCGGACAGUGUCUGGUGGGUAGUUUGACUGGGGCGGUCUCCUCCCAAAGAGUAACGGAGGAGCACGAAGGUUAGCUAAUCCUGGUCGGACAUCAGGAGGUUAGUGCAAUGGCAUAAGCUAGCUUGACUGCGAGAGUGACGGCUCGAGCAGGUGCGAAAGCAGGUCAUAGUGAUCCGGUGGUUCUGAAUGGAAGGGCCAUCGCUCAACGGAUAAAAGGUACUCCGGGGAUAACAGGCUGAUACCGCCCAAGAGUUCAUAUCGACGGCGGUGUUUGGCACCUCGAUGUCGGCUCAUCACAUCCUGGGGCUGAAGUAGGUCCCAAGGGUAUGGCUGUUCGCCAUUUAAAGUGGUACGCGAGCUGGGUUUAGAACGUCGUGAGACAGUUCGGUCCCUAUCUGCCGUGGGCGCUGGAGAAUUGAGGGGGGCUGCUCCUAGUACGAGAGGACCGGAGUGGACGCAUCACUGGUGUUCGGGUUGUCAUGCCAAUGGCACUGCCCGGUAGCUAAAUGCGGAAGAGAUAAGUGCUGAAAGCAUCUAAGCACGAAACUUGCCCCGAGAUGAGUUCUCCCUGAGACUUUAAGUCUCCUGAAGGAACGUUGAAGACGACGACGUUGAUAGGUCGGGUGUGUAAGCGCAGCGAUGCGUUGAGCUAACCGAUACUAAUGAACCGUGAGGCUUAACCUU